CGUAACGUAGCGAUGCAAGUCGAGCGGAUGACGGGAGCUUGCUCCUUGAUUCAGCGGCGGACGGGUGAGUAAUGCCUAGGAAUCUGCCUGGUAGUGGGGGACAACGUUUCGAAAGGAACGCUAAUACCGCAUACGUCCUACGGGAGAAAGCAGGGGACCUUCGGGCCUUGCGCUAUCAGAUGAGCCUAGGUCGGAUUAGCUAGUUGGUGGGGUAAUGGCUCACCAAGGCGACGAUCCGUAACUGGUCUGAGAGGAUGAUCAGUCACACUGGAACUGAGACACGGUCCAGACUCCUACGGGAGGCAGCAGUGGGGAAUAUUGGACAAUGGGCGAAAGCCUGAUCCAGCCAUGCCGCGUGUGUGAAGAAGGUCUUCGGAUUGUAAAGCACUUUAAGUUGGGAGGAAGGGCAGUAAGUUAAUACCUUGCUGUUUUGACGUUACCGACAGAAUAAGCACCGGCUAACUCUGUGCCAGCAGCCGCGGUAAUACAGAGGGUGCAAGCGUUAAUCGGAAUUACUGGGCGUAAAGCGCGCGUAGGUGGUUUGUUAAGUUGGAUGUGAAAGCCCCGGGCUCAACCUGGGAACUGCAUCCAAAACUGGCAAGCUAGAGUACGGUAGAGGGUGGUGGAAUUUCCUGUGUAGCGGUGAAAUGCGUAGAUAUAGGAAGGAACACCAGUGGCGAAGGCGACCACCUGGACUGAUACUGACACUGAGGUGCGAAAGCGUGGGGAGCAAACAGGAUUAGAUACCCUGGUAGUCCACGCCGUAAACGAUGUCAACUAGCCGUUGGAAUCCUUGAGAUUUUAGUGGCGCAGCUAACGCAUUAAGUUGACCGCCUGGGGAGUACGGCCGCAAGGUUAAAACUCAAAUGAAUUGACGGGGGCCCGCACAAGCGGUGGAGCAUGUGGUUAAUUCGAAGCAACGCGAAGAACCUUACCAGGCCUUGACAUGCAAGACUUUCCAAGAUGGAUUGGUGCCUUCGGGAACUCUGACCAGGUGCUGCAUGGCUGUCGCAGCUCGUGCU
Molecule: ribosomal RNA, 1022 nt
Filed under: Pseudomonas sp.
Lineage: Bacteria; Pseudomonadati; Pseudomonadota; Gammaproteobacteria; Pseudomonadales; Pseudomonadaceae
Description: bacterial SSU rRNA
Rfam family: Bacterial small subunit ribosomal RNA
Source: RNAcentral